UUUAUAAUUUUAAAAUUUCAAAAUGAUGAGAAUUGGAUUAAUAGGGGGGUGGGAGCAAGCUGUUGUUUAGUCCACUCCAUGCGACAGGUCAAGAACGUGGAGCCUUCUUAGUCGUCUGGUGGUAGAACUGUUGUCAAGCAAAUUGAUGGCCAGGGGAUUCAAGUGCCUGUCAAGGCGGUCCAGGUGGGCUCUGGUCAGCCUUGUAAUUUCGUCCGUUACCCAUGGAAUUCCCAGCGUACUGUGGAUUGAACGUAAGAAUGUUGGCAUCGGACAUGACUCUCAGGGCCUUGUUUUGAAUUUAGUGUCAUUAACUUAUUUGAAUUCAUUCGUUUAGAUUUUUCCUUUAUACUCAUUCCUUUUACUCAGUAAGCUAUUAUGCUAUCAUAAUGAUGAAGAUCUUAAAUCCGUAGAUAUUAAUUUGCUGGUAUCUUUCGCAUUCAUUCAAACUUAACCCUGUUCGAAUACAUUUACUUUAAGAAAUGUUGGAAAAUGAUCCUUGCAGAUGUCUAAAACAAAAGUGUUUUAUCUUAGCUUUUGAAAUACUAUAUACCCUAAUCCCAAAGCCAAUCUAAACAUUCGGACGUCGGACUCGAAUUCAUAAUCCUAUAAAAUAUUGUAUUCUGGUCUCUGGCCCCAAUAGGUCGAAACUCAUUUAACUUUGAUUUCAAUCUUACUAAUGAAGUCAUAUUUUCGCUUUGAUCAACUGAUUUGUGUUUUUUUAUUCGAAAAUCUAAAUUUUUAAUUUAUUUAUUCAAUGGAUACGGCGGUCCAUGCGAUUGAAGGGGAAUUUGCCCCGAAUUCGAAGAAAAAGAAUAUCUUGGGAAUUGUACUUUUGGAAUUUGAAAUUUGUAAUUUGAGCUUACGAGAGUAAAAUUUCUAAAUUCUGUCUUUCUUUGAUUAUAAACCCUAUUUUACCAUAAACCCAGAAAGAUGACAACAAAAACUGUUAAACAAAUUUUAAACAAGUUGGACGUUACUUCUUUAAUCCACCUUCUUUACCAUUAUCCAUUAACGUUUAAAAUAUUCUGUUUUUAAUCAAAUUAUAUGCCAUUUAGACGUAAAGAGUAUCAAAAAGGACAUUUAGGUCGUUAAAUAUGAUUACAGCUUGACAAAAAUCAGUUUUGCGGUAAUUUA
Molecule: long non-coding RNA, 1134 nt
Organism: Drosophila willistoni
Lineage: Eukaryota; Metazoa; Arthropoda; Insecta; Diptera; Drosophilidae
Exons: 2
Source: RefSeq, a predicted model, not a curated record